Molecule: ribosomal RNA, 482 nt
Filed under: uncultured bacterium
Lineage: Bacteria
Description: partial 16S ribosomal RNA
Rfam family: Bacterial small subunit ribosomal RNA
Source: RNAcentral
AUUGAACGCUGGCGGCAUGCCUUACACAUGCAAGUCGAACAGUAACGGGCCUUCGGGUGCCGACGAGUGGCGAACGGGUGAGUAAUACAUCGGAACGUGCCCGAUCGUGGGGGAUAACGAGGCGAAAGCUUUGCUAAUACCGCAUACGAUCUACGGAUGAAAGCAGGGGACCGCAAGGCCUUGCGCGGACGGAGCGGCCGAUGGCAGAUUAGGUAGUUGGUGGGAUAAAAGCUUACCAAGCCGACGAUCUGUAGCUGGUCUGAGAGGAUGAUCAGCCACACUGGGACUGAGACACGGUCCAGACUCCUACGGGAGGCAGCAGUGGGGAAUUUUGGACAAUGGGCGCAAGCCUGAUCCAGCCAUGCCGCGUGCAGGAUGAAGGCCUUCGGGUUGUAAACUGCUUUUGUACGGAACGAAAAGCCGUCUUUUAAUACAGGGGGGUCAUGACGGUACCGUAAGAAUAAGCACCGGCUAACUACGUG